GAUGAAGAACGUAGCGAAAUGCGAUAAGUAGUGUGAAUUGCAGAAUUCAGUGAAUCAUCGAAUCUUUGAACGCACAUUGCGCCCCUUGGUAUCCCGAGGGGCAUGCCUGUUCGAGCGUCAUUUCACCACUCAAGACUGGCUUGGUGUUGGGCGACGUCCUCUUUGGGGACGCGCCUCGAAACGCUCGGCGGCGUGGCACCGGCUUUAAGCGUAGCAGAAUCUUUCGCUUUGGAAGUCGGGGCCCCGUCUGCCGGAAGACCUGCUCGCAAGGUUGACCUCGGAUCAGGCAGGGAUACCCGCUGAACUUAAGCAUAUCAAUAAGCGGAGGA
This 329-nucleotide unclassified non-coding RNA is filed under the name soil metagenome. Its description in RNAcentral is "partial contains 5.8S ribosomal RNA, internal transcribed spacer 2, and large subunit ribosomal RNA". The stretch from base 1 to 120 matches the Rfam family "5.8S ribosomal RNA", at positions 35 to 154 of the family's 154-position model. The record is from RNAcentral.